GGCGGUAUACUUUAAAUAAAAAGGACUGAUUUGCAUUUAGUUAAUAAGAGUUGUAUCUCUUUAGCGCCA
RNAcentral lists this transfer RNA (69 nucleotides) under Nerita albicilla. Its description in RNAcentral is "tRNA-Ala". Lineage: Eukaryota; Metazoa; Mollusca; Gastropoda; Cycloneritida; Neritidae. The record is from RNAcentral. RNAcentral also lists the same sequence under 1 other name.